This 74-nucleotide transfer RNA is filed under the name SAR324 cluster bacterium. Its description in RNAcentral is "tRNA-Ile". It matches the Rfam family "tRNA". Rfam says of the family: Transfer RNA (tRNA) molecules are approximately 80 nucleotides in length. Their secondary structure includes four short double-helical elements and three loops (D, anti-codon, and T loops). Further hydrogen bonds mediate the characteristic L-shaped molecular structure. tRNAs have two regions of fundamental functional importance: the anti-codon, which is responsible for specific mRNA codon recognition, and the 3' end, to which the tRNAs corresponding amino acid is attached (by aminoacyl-tRNA synthetases). tRNAs cope with the degeneracy of the genetic code in two manners: having more than one tRNA (with a specific anti-codon) for a particular amino acid; and 'wobble' base-pairing, i.e. permitting non-standard base-pairing at the 3rd anti-codon position. The record is from RNAcentral. Lineage: Bacteria; Deltaproteobacteria.
GGGCCUAUAGCUCAGUUGGUUAGAGCCGCCGACUCAUAAUCGGCUGGUCCCUGGUUCGAGUCCAGGUGGGCCCA